RNAcentral lists this ribosomal RNA (254 nucleotides) under uncultured bacterium. RNAcentral describes it as "partial 16S ribosomal RNA". It matches the Rfam family "Bacterial small subunit ribosomal RNA", at positions 524 to 776 of the family's 1533-position model. The record is from RNAcentral.
UACGGAGGGUGCAAGCGUUAUCCGGAAUCACUGGGUUUAAAGGGUGCGUAGGCGGUCUGAUAAGUCAGUUGCGAAAUUCCCCGGCUUAACCGGGUGGACUGCGAUUGAUACUGUUGGACUUGAAUCAGGUUGAGGUAGGCGGAAUGUGACAUGUAGCGGUGAAAUGCUUAGAUAUGUCAUAGAACACCGAUUGCGAAGGCAGCCUGCUGGGCUUCGAUUGACGCUGAGGCACGAAAGCGUGGGGAGCAAACAGG